AUUGAACGCUGGCGGCAGGCCUAACACAUGCAAGUCGAGCGGAUGAAGGGAGCUUGCUCCUGGAUUCAGCGGCGGGCGGGUGAGUAAUGCCUAGGAAUCUGCCUGGUAGUGGGGGAUAACGUCCGGAAACGGGCGCUAAUACCGCAUACGUCCUGAGGGAGAAAGUGGGGGAUCUUCGGACCUCACGCUAUCAGAUGAGCCUAGGUCGGAUUAGCUAGUUGGUGGGGUAAAGGCCUACCAAGGCGACGAUCCGUAACUGGUCUGAGAGGAUGAUCAGUCACACUGGAACUGAGACACGGUCCAGACUCCUACGGGAGGCAGCAGUGGGGAAUAUUGGACAAUGGGCGAAAGCCUGAUCCAGCCAUGCCGCGUGUGUGAAGAAGGUCUUCGGAUUGUAAAGCACUUUAAGUUGGGAGGAAGGGCAGUAAGUUAAUACCUUGCCGUUUUGACGUUACCAACAGAAUAAGCACCGGCUAACUUCGUG
This 484-nucleotide ribosomal RNA is filed under the name uncultured bacterium. RNAcentral's name for it is "partial 16S ribosomal RNA". It matches the Rfam family "Bacterial small subunit ribosomal RNA", at positions 30 to 507 of the family's 1533-position model. The record is from RNAcentral.